RNAcentral lists this long non-coding RNA (943 nucleotides) under Homo sapiens (human). RNAcentral's name for it is "HSALNT0380590". The record is from RNAcentral. Lineage: Eukaryota; Metazoa; Chordata; Mammalia; Primates; Hominidae.
GGAACUGCAGUGGCAGACAGCAACUUUUAUUUUCCCCAGCCACCAUAGCCCCACUCAAUAUGACAUUUAGACAGAUGAGCCAGCAAUACAGUAGUUACAUGUGUCUGGGAUUUGUUUUUUAAAUUAUAUGUACCGCUUUUAAUAGCCUGAUUACAGCUGUUCAGUAAGUGAUGCCUCUAGACUGAAGAGGACCGAAAUGAGAAGCAGGCCAGCUAAGAGGGCUGGGAGCAGCACGUUCCCCUUGUUAUUGCCAGCUAGUGGGGAGAGAACAUAUGGCCACUUUACAAAGUUAAGAAUCACAAACAGCAGACAAGAAUGAAUGAUUAAUGCUGGAGUUCCUGGAGUAUGGGCCAAAGAAGUUCCCCCAAAUGACUGUGUUAUAGAUGGUUGACAAUAGGGGAUGAAAAUUGCCCCUACUCUUUGAGAUGACUGGUAUUGAAUGGAGCAGUCUUUGAAAGGCACCAACCCUUCCUAACUGAUGGUGGUCUCUUGAAAGAGGCUCUUCCAAAUUUGUCUUCUGAAAGUGUUGUGGUUGGGGACAGUUCAUAACCCUUUCUAAUAGAGAGGAUGGAUUAGUUUUGACUCACUCUGUGUAAGAAGCUUGGUUGUGGUCCAGCUGGCAAGGUCAUAAAGCAAAGUAAUUACUUGAAAGUAAAAGGAAAAGAUAAAUAUUGUAUCUAGUAUCCUCCCUUGUUAUUUAGGAUUCUGGCUUUCUCUUGGAUUAAAAAAAAAAAAAAACAACUCAUCUUUUUAGGGUCAAGAAAAAAUUUCCAUGGUAUCCCAAUGGAAAAAUCCCACUUAACAGUGAUUGUGGUAUUAAUAGUGGUAUUCUUUAUUUUCUUUGGAACGCCUUUAUCUGAAUCAUAUUAAUUAACUUAGUGCCAGAGUCCCAGAAUCCACAAGGAAUAGUAUGUAAGACAAGUUAAAACAUGUAACUAUGCAA